UUGUGAUAGAGUUUUACCCGCAGAUAAUUAAAAACCUACAGCAAUGUCAUAUUUUCUCUCCUCCCUCAUUUUGUUCCUUUCGCUCCCUCUAACAAAGGCGACGAAGGCGAUGAAGCUCCUCCGUAGAAACCGAUGAAAAUCGCAGGAUUUCUUGAAAUUCCUCCAUAAAAUCGAGCUUAUUCAAGUUUUAUUUGUCCAAUUCUGCUGCAAAUCAGAGAUUAUUUGAUUAAAAUCGAGCUUUAUCAAGUUUAAAUCCGGAUGCAUUUUUAAUUAGGUUUUCUCCAAAUUAAUGAUUCAAGUAUUAUCAGGUUAUCUGCAUUGCUCACAAAGGGGUAUUUUUAUAAAAGACCCAAUCAAUAUGCUACAAACGUCGUUUAAAACGUAAUUACAACUACAGCCUUAGGUAAGAGUACUUUGCAUAUGGUAGAUUGGUGUGUAACAGUGUCAAUACAAAGUUCGCCAAUUUACAAUGACUGAAGAACAGCAAAGAAUUCAGGAUGAGCUGAACUUGUUGGGAAGAUUGUCACAUCCAAACUUCGCUCAUUCAUUAGGAUAUUGCUGGACUGAGGAGAAGUUUUAUUUAGUCUCUGAAUAUAUACCCAAAGGAAUUUGGAUAAUCAUAUGCUCAACGGUAAACAGUUAAUUGUUUGCUUUGGAGUUUGGCGUUGAACUGUUGAUCAGUGUGGUCUAACUAGAUUCUGGUAUUUCCUCCGCAGGGUGGAAGUUCUGGAAAUCCUCCAAGUUUUGGUUCGACACUCACAAAACAGGAAUUAUCUUAGACAAGCCCGAAACUGUGGAAAGACACGAAAUGAUCAAGAAGACAAUUCAAGAAAAUCCAGAGAUGGAGGGAAAACUUCAGGCCAUUCUAGAUGCUUUUAGAGAUAAGUAAGAUUGGUGCUGCUAUGUGCUUCCUUGCUUCCUGCUGGGCUAAUGUGCCUUGCUUCUACUAUCUGCUGCAAACUUUGAAUUUUAUUUAAAUUGCAGUAAUCAGACCAAGUGUUAUUGUGGUCUUAUUUUUGAUUUCUUGGGCAUCAGACAAUUGGUUGUGGUAGUUUUAAUCAUGGGCCAUUGUUGUAGAUUUGGAUUUUGUGAAAUGAACUUGAUGGUACUUUUAUAA
Molecule: long non-coding RNA, 1117 nt
Organism: Spinacia oleracea (spinach)
Lineage: Eukaryota; Viridiplantae; Streptophyta; Magnoliopsida; Caryophyllales; Amaranthaceae
Exons: 7
Source: RefSeq, a predicted model, not a curated record